ACGAACGCUGGCGGCAGGCUUAACACAUGCAAGUCGAGCGCCCCGCAAGGGGAGCGGCAGACGGGUGAGUAACGCGUGGGAACCUUCCCUUUGGUACGGAAUAACCCGGGGAAACUCGGGCUAAUACCGUAUACGCCGGUAACGGGAAAGAUUUAUCGCCGGAGGAUGGGCCCGCGUCGGAUUAGCUAGUUGGUGGGGUAACGGCCUACCAAGGCUACGAUCCGUAGCUGGUCUGAGAGGACGACCAGCCACACUGGGACUGAGACACGGCCCAGACUCCUACGGGAGGCAGCAGUGGGGAAUCUUGGACAAUGGGCGAAAGCCUGAUCCAGCCAUGCCGCGUGGGUGAUGAAGGCCUUAGGGUUGUAAAGCCCUUUUGGCGGGGACGAUGAUGACGGUACCCGCAGAAGAAGCCCCGGCUAACUCCGU
RNAcentral lists this ribosomal RNA (429 nucleotides) under uncultured bacterium. RNAcentral's name for it is "bacterial SSU rRNA". It matches the Rfam family "Bacterial small subunit ribosomal RNA", at positions 29 to 506 of the family's 1533-position model. The record is from RNAcentral.